UGAUAAUCAAAUAAUACAGAAUGAGAAUCCUGUAUGUUGAAAGAAACCUUGAUAGCUUAUUCCAAAUGUGACCACAGUGUUGGUUUAGUGAACUCAGUACACGCAGAUCGUGAAGUUAUUAGGGGAUUACUGCUAUGAAAAUUGCUGUGUCAUGAAUGCCUCUCUGUCAGCACAGGUUGGCUUGAUGAGACCUGCCUGACAAGGUGGUCAUUAAAUCCUAACAGGCAGCUACUGAGCCUGAAACACCUUGGGGCAAUAGGCUGGCUGAGGCCUUGGUGAUCAAGGGGGUUUGGGUCUACAGCUGUGGGCAAUUUGCCAAAGGCUGAGACAGAAGGCAAGUGUUAGGAGAAGAGGUUAUAAACAGAGUGAAGCCUGAUAGAGAUAGUAAGUGUUUAAUGAGAGAGAUGAGUGAGGGGUUGAGUUUAAAUCCAGGAGUAAGAUGCAUUUCUAUAGUUGGGAAGAUACAACUUGUUUCUGAGAUCCUGUACUGUGAGAACUUUUCACGUGGAGUAUGUGCAAGGGAGGGUGCCAUAAAAUGCAAUUUAUACUCUUGCAAGAUAAUUGCUUAUAAUAUCAAACAUAAAACCAUUUCAAGGCUGGGAAAUGUGAGAAAAAGAUUCUUUACACUCUUGGUGGUGCUCAAAAGUGACCUACAAUCUGGUCCAACCAAAAGCGAAGUUGGGCGCAUCUGCAAGCACAUUACUGAAUAUCUUUGUUGCCUGGUUUUCUCCCAGGCUCCACUUUGGAGUAAGCCAGCUAUUUCCUUUCAAGAGGAGACCUAGAUACAGUUAACAUGAUAAUUUGUUCCAGGGUCUGUUCCUGACAGGCUGUAUGGAUGCAGCCCACGUCAAUGUUGACUCUUUCCAUCUAGGACAUUCCUCCUACAUUAUCCCAUGCGGUAAUGCAGCACAUAUCCGUGGUGUCAUGCUAUGAAAAACACAGCUGUACCAGACUGCAUCACAAUCCUCACUUUAUUUUAGGCAUCGUGAACUGGAAAAUGAUGACAAGUACUUAGCCUACCCUUGACCUAAAGGAAUCCCUACAGGAGUGGGAUGCCUUUAAUUUAUAGCCUCAGCCAGUACAUCCUGGGGAGCCUGGUGAGGUCAGUGCUGGCUGUUCUGUUGUGCCUUUAAAUGCUGAGAUUUCUCAGAUAUUAACACAGGAGAGAUUCUGUGAGACCACUUGGAGAAUGUAAGGUGAAUAAAGUCUUCAUCUAUUGGUAUAUCCUUUGUUCA
Molecule: long non-coding RNA, 1235 nt
Filed under: Anas platyrhynchos platyrhynchos (common mallard)
Lineage: Eukaryota; Metazoa; Chordata; Aves; Anseriformes; Anatidae
Description: lncRNA (ENSAPLG00000017819.1)
Source: RNAcentral